RNAcentral lists this ribosomal RNA (183 nucleotides) under uncultured Pseudomonas sp. RNAcentral's name for it is "partial 16S ribosomal RNA". It matches the Rfam family "Bacterial small subunit ribosomal RNA", at positions 338 to 513 of the family's 1533-position model. Lineage: Bacteria; Pseudomonadati; Pseudomonadota; Gammaproteobacteria; Pseudomonadales; Pseudomonadaceae. The record is from RNAcentral.
CCUACGGGAGGCAGCAGUGGGGAAUAUUGGACAAUGGGCGAAAGCCUGAUCCAGCCAUGCCGCGUGUGUGAAGAAGGUCUUCGGAUUGUAAAGCACUUUAAGUUGGGAGGAAGGGUUGUAGAUUAAUACUCUGCAAUUUUGACGUUACCGACAGAAUAAGCACCGGCUAACUCUGUGCCAGCA